RNAcentral lists this ribosomal RNA (520 nucleotides) under uncultured bacterium. Its description in RNAcentral is "bacterial SSU rRNA". It matches the Rfam family "Bacterial small subunit ribosomal RNA", at positions 988 to 1509 of the family's 1533-position model. The record is from RNAcentral.
CCAGAGAACUUAGCAGAGAUGCUUUGGUGCCUUCGGGAACUCUGAGACAGGUGCUGCAUGGCUGUCGUCAGCUCGUGUUGUGAAAUGUUGGUUAAGUCCCGCAACGAGCGCAACCCUUAUCCUUUGUUGCCAGCGGCUCGGCCGGGAACUCAAAGGAGACUGCCGGUGAUAAACCGGAGGAAGGUGGGGAUGACGUCAAGUCAUCAUGGCCCUUACGGCCAGGGCUACACACGUGCUACAAUGGCGCAUACAAAGAGAAGCGACCUCGCGAGAGCAAGCGGACCUCAUAAAGUGCGUCGUAGUCCGGAUUGGAGUCUGCAACUCGACUCCAUGAAGUCGGAAUCGCUAGUAAUCGUAGAUCAGAAUGCUACGGUGAAUACGUUCCCGGGCCUUGUACACACCGCCCGUCACACCAUGGGAGUGGGUUGCAAAAGAAGUAGGUAGCUUAACCUUCGGGAGGGCGCUUACCACUUUGUGAUUCAUGACUGGGGUGAAGUCGUAACAAGGUAAGCGUAGCGAG